Molecule: ribosomal RNA, 484 nt
Filed under: uncultured bacterium
Lineage: Bacteria
Description: partial 16S ribosomal RNA
Rfam family: Bacterial small subunit ribosomal RNA
Source: RNAcentral
AUUGAACGCUGGCGGCAGGCCUAACACAUGCAAGUCGAGCGGAUGAAGGGAGCUUGCUCCUGGAUUCAGCGGCGGACGGGUGAGUAAUGCCUAGGAAUCUGCCUGGUAGUGGGGGAUAACGUCCGGGAACGGGCGCUAAUACCGCAUACGUCCUGAGGGAGAAAGUGGGGGAUCUUCGGACCUCACGCUAUCAGAUGAGCCUAGGUCGGAUUAGCUAGUUGGUGGGGUAAAGGCCUACCAAGGCGACGAUCCGUAACUGGUCUGAGAGGAUGAUCAGUCACACUGGAACUGAGACACGGUCCAGACUCCUACGGGAGGCAGCAGUGGGGAAUAUUGGACGAUGGGCGAAAGCCUGAUCCAGCCAUGCCGCGUGUGUGAAGAAGGUCUUCGGAUUGUAAAGCACUUUAAGUUGGGAGGAAGGGCAGUAAGUUAAUACCUUGCUGUUUUGACGUUACCAACAGAAUAAGCACCGGCUAACUUCGUG